AUGAAGAGGUCUGGAAAGGCCCGUCAAAGAAGGUAACAACCCUGUAGUUGAAACCUCAUUCCCUCCAGAGUGGAUCCUGAGUACGGCGGGACACGAGAAAUCCCGUCGGAAGCAGGGAGGACCAUCUCCCAAGGCUAAAUACUCCCUAGUGACCGAUAGUGAACCAGUACCGUGAGGGAAAGGUGAAAAGCACCCCGGAAGGGGAGUGAAACAGAUCCUGAAACCGUGUGCCUACAAGUAGUCAAAGCCCUUGUCGAUAUUUCCUUAGGGAAAAUCGCGGGUAAUGGCGUGCCUUUUGUAGAAUGAACCGGCGAGUUACGAUCACAUGCAAGGUUAAGUUGAUAAGACGGAGCCGCAGCGAAAGCGAGUCUG
RNAcentral lists this ribosomal RNA (372 nucleotides) under Escherichia coli. RNAcentral's name for it is "partial 23S ribosomal RNA". It matches the Rfam family "Bacterial large subunit ribosomal RNA", at positions 333 to 685 of the family's 2925-position model. Lineage: Bacteria; Pseudomonadati; Pseudomonadota; Gammaproteobacteria; Enterobacterales; Enterobacteriaceae. The record is from RNAcentral.